Olea europaea var. sylvestris is the source of this 802-nucleotide long non-coding RNA. RefSeq lists it as uncharacterized. The record is from RefSeq and is a predicted model, not a curated record. The transcript is spliced from 2 exons. Lineage: Eukaryota; Viridiplantae; Streptophyta; Magnoliopsida; Lamiales; Oleaceae.
AUGUAUAAAAUACUCUAGAAAGAACUAAAUGUAUCCAGAAAUAAAGAUACGAGAAAAAGAUUUAGAAAACUUCAAUAAUGCCGAAAUCAAUAAUGCUAGACCAACCGAAAUAGGUGACCGAAUCCUUGACCUGCUUAGGUGGAACUGGGGCCAAUAAUUAAAAAAGAAAAUGCCAAAUUCUUUUGUUAUUUAAAAUAUAUUUUUGUACGCCAUAGAGGUAGAAAUCAGGCUCACGUGCAGACCCAUUUUCCUAUAUUUCUUUUCCUAAACCCUAUUUUCCACAACAGUUGUAUUCUUCCUCCAGAGCACCUCAGUAGGUUCCAUAGCGCCGCACCUAAUCUCAAAUCGUUUGUUCAACGCCGACAACGCUGCGUUAGUAGCUGCACUAGAAGGAUCCAACCUCUCCAUUCGUCAUACAUCUACAUAAAGAGGUGAAGAAUCAUAUGACGAACGAACAAAGAAUCAUAUGACGAACGAAGGAGGUGAAGAACUAUUUGCCAUGUUUCAAUCACGAUGCUAAUAAUCUGAUCAACAAGAUGUGAAUAUUUCUUUUAAUGUGACAAUACACAAAGGAAGAGCAAAUGCGGACGGAGAUAAGAAAGGAAAGGGGCAUGAAUGUGUUGUAAUAAUUAAAUGUAAUGACCUUAUUUUACUUAUGCAUUUGAUGGAUGUCGUAGUUUCUUUGGAAUGUAGUAGUAAAGUAAUUUCGUUUUGUAAUUAUAGUUUUUGUAUUAAGACUUUAUUUCCUAUGUGUAUAUGGUAGUAGUUGCAUUCCUAUUCUAUAACACUUUGUCAUUUAAAA